AUACGGAGGAUGCGAGCGUUAUCCGGAUUCAUUGGGUUUAAAGGGUGCGCAGGCGGAUAUAUAAGUCGGAGGUGAAAUUCUGAUGCUCAACAUCAGCCGUGCCUUCGAUACUGUAUAUCUAGAGUCAAGUUGGAGUAGGCGGAAUGUGUUGUGUAGCGGUGAAAUGCUUAGAUAUAACACAGAACACCGAUCGCGAAGGCAGCUUACUAAACUUUGACUGACGCUCAUGCACGAAAGCGUGGGGAUCAAACAGGAUUAGAUACCCUGGUAGUCCACGCUGUAAACGAUGAUUACUCGCUGUUGGCGAUACACAGUCAGUGGCUAAGCGAAAGUGAUAAGUAAUCCACCUGGGGAGUACGACGGCAACGUUGAA
Molecule: ribosomal RNA, 373 nt
Filed under: uncultured bacterium
Lineage: Bacteria
Description: bacterial SSU rRNA
Rfam family: Bacterial small subunit ribosomal RNA
Source: RNAcentral